RNAcentral lists this ribosomal RNA (253 nucleotides) under uncultured bacterium. RNAcentral describes it as "partial 16S ribosomal RNA". It matches the Rfam family "Bacterial small subunit ribosomal RNA", at positions 524 to 776 of the family's 1533-position model. The record is from RNAcentral.
UACAGAGGUCUCAAGCGUUGUUCGGAUUCAUUGGGCGUAAAGGGUGCGUAGGCGGCGCGGUAAGUCGGGUGUGAAAUCUCGGAGCUUAACUCCGAAACUGCAUUUGAUACUGCCGUGCUUGAGGACUGGAGAGGAGACUGGAAUUUACGGUGUAGCGGUGAAAUGCGUAGAUAUCGUAAGGAAGACCAGUGGCGAAGGCGGGUCUCUGGACAGUUCCUGACGCUGAGGCACGAAGGCCAGGGGAGCAAACGGG